Molecule: ribosomal RNA, 259 nt
Filed under: uncultured prokaryote
Description: partial 16S ribosomal RNA
Rfam family: Bacterial small subunit ribosomal RNA
Source: RNAcentral
UACGGAGGAUCCGAGCGUUAUCCGGAUUUAUUGGGUUUAAAGGGUGCGCAGGCGGAAGAUUAAGUCGGUGGUGAAAUUUUGCAGCUUAACUGUAACAGUGCCGUUGAUACUGGGGAGCUAGGAUUUGGUUGCUGUGGGUGGAAUGUGUGGUGUAGCGGUGAAAUGCUUAGAGAUCACACAGAAUAUCGAUUGCGAAGGCAGCUCACAAAGCCAAGAUUGACGCUGAGGCACGAAAGUGUGGGGAUCAAACAGGAUUAGA